UUGCAGACUCUUAAGAUCACACUGGCCUUUCCCAUGGUGUGAGGUGGGAUAGUGUGCAAUGGCUAUGAAUAACAGCCUCCUCGGUAGUGUAUGUAACCUGUUGGCAUGUAUUAGCUGCGCCAAGUAGGAGACCUUGGAGACAGCC
RNAcentral lists this small nucleolar RNA (145 nucleotides) under Echinops telfairi (small Madagascar hedgehog). RNAcentral's name for it is "Small nucleolar RNA SNORA70 (ENSETEG00000025620.1)". It matches the Rfam family "Small nucleolar RNA SNORA70". From Rfam's summary of the family: snoRNA U70 seems to be exclusive to mammals and is a member of the H/ACA class of snoRNA which contain H (ANANNA) and ACA box motifs. Lineage: Eukaryota; Metazoa; Chordata; Mammalia; Afrosoricida; Tenrecidae. The record is from RNAcentral.